RNAcentral lists this ribosomal RNA (253 nucleotides) under uncultured bacterium. RNAcentral's name for it is "partial 16S ribosomal RNA". It matches the Rfam family "Bacterial small subunit ribosomal RNA", at positions 524 to 776 of the family's 1533-position model. The record is from RNAcentral.
UACAGAGGUCUCAAGCGUUGUUCGGAUUCAUUGGGCGUAAAGGGUGCGUAGGCGGCGCGGUAAGUCGGGUGUGAAAUCUCGGGGCUUAACUCCGAAACUGCAUUCGAUACUGCCGUGCUUGAGGACUGGAGAGGAGACUGGAAUUUACGGUGUAGCAGUGAAAUGCGUAGAGAUGUGGAGGAACACCGAUGGCGAAGGCAGCCCCCUGGGCUAACACUGACGCUCAUGCACGAAAGCGUGGGGAGCAAACAGG